AACGAACGCUGGCGGCAGGCCUAACACAUGCAAGUCGAGCGCCCCGCAAGGGGAGCGGCGGACGGGUGAGUAACACGUGGGAAUUUUCCUCAAGGUACGGAACAACUCAGGGAAACUUGGGCUAAUACCGUAUGAUGCAGAGAUGCCAAAGAUUUAUCGCCUUGGGAUAAGCCCGCGUCAGAUUAGGUAGUUGGUGGGGUAAUGGCCUACCAAGCCUGUGAUCUGUAGCUGGUCUGAGAGGACGAUCAGCCACAUUGGGACCGAGACACGGCCCAAACUCCUACGGGAGGCAGCAGUGGGGAAUCUUGCGCAAUGGACGAAAGUCUGACGCAGCCAUGCCGCGUGAAUGAUGAAGGUCUUAGGAUUGUAAAGUUCUUUAGCCUGUGACGAUGAUGACGGUAACAGGAGAAUAAGCCCCGGCUAACUUCGUG
This 431-nucleotide ribosomal RNA is filed under the name uncultured bacterium. RNAcentral's name for it is "bacterial SSU rRNA". It matches the Rfam family "Bacterial small subunit ribosomal RNA", at positions 29 to 507 of the family's 1533-position model. The record is from RNAcentral.